This 1542-nucleotide long non-coding RNA is filed under the name Heterocephalus glaber (naked mole-rat). Its description in RNAcentral is "lncRNA (ENSHGLG00000043017.1)". The record is from RNAcentral. Lineage: Eukaryota; Metazoa; Chordata; Mammalia; Rodentia; Bathyergidae.
GUGAUAUUGGACAUUUUUGUCUUUUGCCUGAUUUUAGCACGAAGGUUUUCAGUUUUUGACCAUUUAGUAUGAUGUUGGCUGUUGGUUUUUCAUAGAUAGCCUUUGUCAAAUUGAGAUAAAGACCAUCUAUUCCAAUUUUCUACAGGGCAAUUUUCUGCAGGGUUUUUAUCAUAAAUGGGUGUUGAAUCUUGUUAAAGACAUAUUCUGCAUCUGUUGAGAUGAUCAUAUGGUUUUUGUCCUUGACUCUGUUAGUAUAGUGUAUUACAUUUAUUGAUAUACGUAUGUUGAGCCAUCUUUGGAUCCCUGGGAUAAAUCCAACUUGGUCGGGGUGUAUGAUUUUCUUGAUGACCUUCUGUAUUCUGUUUGCCAGUAUCUUGCUGAGGAUUUUUGCAUCUAUGUUCAUUAGGGAGAUUGGCCUGUAGUUCUCUUUUUUGGUUGUGUCUUUCCCUGGUUUUGGAAUCAAAGUAACACUUGCUUCCAGGAAUGAAUUUGGGGGUAUUGCUUUCCUUUCAAUUUCAUUGAAAAUUUAAAGCGUAGUGGCAGUAGUUCUUCUUUAAAUGUCUUGUAGAAUUCAGCAGUGAAGCCAUCAGGACCUGGGCUUUUCUUUUUUGGCAAAUUUUUAAUUACGUUUUCAAUUUUACUGAUUAUAAUUGGGGUGUUUAGAAUUUUUAUAUCUUCUUUGUUCAACUUUGGUAAUUCAUAUGUAUCUAGAAAUGUGUCCAUUUCUUCUGUGUUUUCCAUUUUAUUAGAGUACAGGUUCUUGAAGUAGGUAUUGAUAAUCCUCUGGAUUUCUUCUGGAUCUGUUGUGAUUUCACCUUUUUCAUUCCUAAUUGCUUGGAUUUGAGCCUUUUCUUUCCUUUUUUUGAUAAGGUUGGCUAAGGGUUUAUCAAUUUUAUUAUUUUUAAAAACCAACUCUUGGAUUCGUUGAUUUUUUUGUAUCAUUCUCUUAGUCUACAUUGCAUUGAUUUCUGCUCUGAUCUUUAUAAUUUCUCUCCCAUAUGAGCUUUGGGUUUGUCUUCUUCUUCUGUUUCUAGGAGCUUAAGUUUCAGCAUUAGGUUGUUAAUUUCAUCUUGCUCUGUUUUCCUAGUGUGGGCAUUCUGCCUUCAUUGUGUCCCAUAAAUUCCUGUAUGUUAUAUUAGCAUUUUCAUUUAUUUGUAAAAACUGUCUAAUUUCUUCUUUAAUUUCCUCCGUGACCAAUUGUUUGCUCAGGAGAGUGUUAUUCAAUUUCCAUGUGUUUUGUGAAGUACUUGCGGUUUCUUAUGCUAUUGAUCUCCAGUUUAAUUGGACUAUGGUCUGAUAAUAUACAUGGGAUAACUUCAAUUCCUUUGCACUUACUUAUGACCCAUGUGCAGCCAAAAAAGUAUGUAUAUUGUGAUUUUGUGGGGGUAGAACACUCUAAUUUUAUUGUUGAUUUUUUGUCUAGAUGAUUUGUCUAUUUGUGACAGUGGGGUAUUGAGGUCCCCCAUUACAAUUGUAUUAGUGCUUAUUUGGUUUUUCAUGUCCCUUAAUAUAUGUUUUGUAUAGUUGGGGGCAUUAGUAUUU